This 28-nucleotide non-coding RNA is filed under the name Mus musculus (house mouse). Lineage: Eukaryota; Metazoa; Chordata; Mammalia; Rodentia; Muridae. The record is from RNAcentral.
UGCAGAAACAUACCACUGUUUCCUUAGG